GGACUCAUAGCUCAGUUUGGUUAGAGCGCUUCCUUCACAUGGAAGAAGUCGUAGGUUCGAGUCCUACUGAGUCCACCA
RNAcentral lists this transfer RNA (78 nucleotides) under Candidatus Omnitrophota bacterium. Its description in RNAcentral is "tRNA-Val". It matches the Rfam family "tRNA". Rfam says of the family: Transfer RNA (tRNA) molecules are approximately 80 nucleotides in length. Lineage: Bacteria; Pseudomonadati; Candidatus Omnitrophota. The record is from RNAcentral.